GGAAGAUAAGUGGCCAUUAGACAAAUGGUGAAGAGCUCAAACUUCAGCAAGCAAAAAAUGUUUCCGGUUACCAGGAUCAGUCUUCCUUAAGAAGGAAGCAGACCAUUAUAAAUAACAAAUAUUUUCCUGUCACAUGUUCAAAUUCAUAAUGAGGGAUUUAUUAGCUGUGUGGAAUAGACCAAUUUUCUUUCCCCAGAGAGGAGCAGCUCUGAGUUAACUGACACAAUAUUGCAGGCUUAUUUAUGUGAUAGUUUAACACCUUUAGAGGUUGGUGCCUCUGGCACCUCGUCUGUUCUUGGUCCUUCCUU
This 308-nucleotide long non-coding RNA is filed under the name Bos taurus (domestic cattle). RNAcentral's name for it is "long non-coding RNA NONBTAT026852". Lineage: Eukaryota; Metazoa; Chordata; Mammalia; Artiodactyla; Bovidae. The record is from RNAcentral.